CCUACGGGAGACAGCAGUAGGGAAUUUUGCGCAAUGGGCGAAAGCCUGACGCAGCAACGCCGCGUGAUCGAGACGCCCUUCGGGGUGUAAAGAUCUGUCAGUGGGGACGAAACUUGACGGUACCCACAGAGGAAGCACCUGCUAACUCCGUGCCAGCAGCCGCGGUAAUACGGGGGGUGCAAGCGUUGUCCGGAAUCAUAGGGCGUAAAGAGUUCGUAGGCGGCACGUAAAGUCUGGUGUUAAAGGCAGAGGCUCAACUUCUGUACGGCACUGGAUACUUGCGAGCUAGAGUGCGGUAGAGGUAAAGGGAAUUCCUGGUGUAGCGGUGAAAUGCUUAGAUAUCAGGAGGAACAUCGGUGGCGUAGGCGCUUUACUGGGCCGUAAUUGACGCUGAGGAACGAAAGCCAGGGUAGCAAAUGGGAUUAGAUACCCGAGUAGUC
RNAcentral lists this ribosomal RNA (440 nucleotides) under uncultured bacterium. Its description in RNAcentral is "partial 16S ribosomal RNA". It matches the Rfam family "Bacterial small subunit ribosomal RNA", at positions 338 to 795 of the family's 1533-position model. The record is from RNAcentral.